CCAAAGGGGAGGAAAGUCUCUUUGAAAGCAUUUCUCCUAGCCUGCUCAGAGAAGAUGCUCAUUUUCAGUCUUUCAGGACUAUUUUUAAUAGAAUUUUUAAGAAACAGGAAAAAAUAUAGACAAGAUUAUACAGAGAGGGGAAGAAUGAGAAGAGAAGAGAAGGAUAAUAAGAAUUCUGAGGAACAUCAACAUUUAAAACGGAAAUGAAGAAAAGCCUGCGAAGAAGACUGCAAAGGUAGGCCAAGACCUAAAGGUGGUUCUGGAAUUAUUUGAUAUUGGGUGGCAGUAGGCAGGUUCAACAGAAGCCAAAGCUUAAAAGGAAGCAUUCUAGUGUUUCUACUUUUGCUCAUCUGUGAUUGCUGCAUGAACAUGUCCAAGCUAUCCCACUGGAGGAUGAGGAACACAUGGCCCAGUGAUUCUGCCCCACUCAACAGCCUAUCAACUGCCAGACUCAUUUGAAGCCAGAAGAACCUCCCAGCUGAGUCCGUCCUAAUUCAGUCAACCCUGGCAACUAUCAGGCAUACUAAUGGGUCCAACCAAGACCAGAAGAACUUCCUAGACAGGCCAACCUACACUGCCGUCCUGAGACCAUGGCCUUAGUAAAUACUCAUUGCUUUCAGCCACUGUGUUUCUGGGUGCUUUGUUACACAGUAUUAUUGUGGUAAUAGAUAAAUGAUACAAGUGCUAAAAUAACUG
Molecule: long non-coding RNA, 696 nt
Filed under: Homo sapiens (human)
Lineage: Eukaryota; Metazoa; Chordata; Mammalia; Primates; Hominidae
Description: HSALNT0326076
Source: RNAcentral